This 478-nucleotide ribosomal RNA is filed under the name uncultured bacterium. RNAcentral describes it as "partial 16S ribosomal RNA". It matches the Rfam family "Bacterial small subunit ribosomal RNA", at positions 28 to 507 of the family's 1533-position model. The record is from RNAcentral.
GACGAACGCUGGCGGCGUGCUUAACACAUGCAAGUCGAACGGGAUUUAGUAAACAGAAGCCUCGGUGCAAGAUUACUAAUGAGAGUGGCGAACGGGUGAGUAACGCGUGAGCAACCUGCCUAUGACAGGGGGAUAGCCUCGGGAAACCGGGAUUAAUACUGCAUAAAAUUGUAGAAACACAUGUUUCAACGGUCAAAGAUUUAUCGGUCAUAGAUGGGCUCGCUUCUGAUUAGCUGGUUGGUGAGGUAACAGCCCACCAAGGCGACGAUCAGUAGCCGGUCUGAGAGGAGGCACCGCCACAUUGGAGCUGAGACACGGUCCAAACUCCUACGCGAGGCAGCAGUGGGGAAUAUUGCACAAUGGGGGAAGCCCUGAUGCAGCGACGCCGCGUGAACGAAGAAGGUAUUCGUAACGUAAAGUUCUGUCCUAUGGGAAGAUAAUGACGGUACCAUAGAAGAAAGCUCCGGCUAAAUACGUG